This 30-nucleotide non-coding RNA is filed under the name Rattus norvegicus (Norway rat). Lineage: Eukaryota; Metazoa; Chordata; Mammalia; Rodentia; Muridae. The record is from RNAcentral.
UCCCCAUGAAGGUUGGCCUCCAUGAGAGAG